UACGGAGGGUGCAAGCGUUAUCCGGAUUUACUGGGUUUAAAGGGUGUGUAGGCGGACUUUUAAGUCAGCGGUGAAAUCUCCGGGCUCAACCCGGAAACUGCCAUUGAUACUAUUGGUCUUGAAUGUUGUGGAGGUGGGCGGAACGGGUCAUGUAGCGGUGAAAUGCUUAGAGAUGACCCGGAACACCGAUUGCGAAGGCAGCCCACUACGCAACCAUUGACGCUGAGGCACGAAAGCGUGGGGAUCAAACAGG
Molecule: ribosomal RNA, 253 nt
Filed under: uncultured bacterium
Lineage: Bacteria
Description: partial 16S ribosomal RNA
Rfam family: Bacterial small subunit ribosomal RNA
Source: RNAcentral